This 375-nucleotide ribosomal RNA is filed under the name uncultured organism. Its description in RNAcentral is "bacterial SSU rRNA". It matches the Rfam family "Archaeal small subunit ribosomal RNA", at positions 476 to 851 of the family's 1478-position model. The record is from RNAcentral.
CCAGCACCCCGAGUGGUCGGGACGAUUAUUGGGCCUAAAGCAUCCGUAGCCGGUCUUACAAGUCCCCCGUUAAAUCCAGCUGCUUAACAGAUGGGCUGCGGAGGAUACUAUAAGACUAGGAGGCAGGAGAGGCAAGCGGUACUCAGUGGGUAGGGGUAAAAUCCGUUGAUCCAUUGAAGACCACCAGUGGCGAAGGCGGCUUGCCAGAAUGCGCUCGACGGUGAGGGAUGAAAGCUGGGGGAGCAAACCGGAUUAGAUACCCGGGUAGUCCCAGCUGUAAACGAUGCAGACUCGGUGAUGGACUAGCUUUAUGCUAGUCCAGUGCCGCAGGGAAGCCGUUAAGUCUGCCGCCUGGGUAGUACGGUCGCAAGACCG